GCCCCGGUCCGGGGCGGCCGGGAGCGCCCCGGCCCGGGACGCCGGGGAUCAGGCCGCGUACUCGGAGACCCGCUGGUCGCGGUCGGCGGCCGCGGUG
This 97-nucleotide transfer RNA is filed under the name Streptomyces nojiriensis. RNAcentral describes it as "tRNA-Pro". Lineage: Bacteria; Bacillati; Actinomycetota; Actinomycetes; Kitasatosporales; Streptomycetaceae. The record is from RNAcentral.